This 253-nucleotide ribosomal RNA is filed under the name uncultured bacterium. RNAcentral describes it as "partial 16S ribosomal RNA". It matches the Rfam family "Bacterial small subunit ribosomal RNA", at positions 524 to 776 of the family's 1533-position model. The record is from RNAcentral.
UACGUAGGGUGCGAGCGUUGUCCGGAAUUAUUGGGCGUAAAGAGCUUGUAGGCGGUUUGUCGCGUCUGCCGUGAAAAUCCAGGGCUCAACCCUGGACCUGCAUUCGAUACGGGCAGACUAGAAUUCGGUAGGGGAGACUGGAAUUCCUGGUGUAGCGGUGAAAUGCGCAGAUAUCAGGAGGAACAACGGUGGCGAAGGCGGGUCUCUGGGCCGAUAUUGACGCUGAGGAGCGAAAGCGUGGGGAGCGAACAGG